GCAGGGAAUCUUGCGCAAUGGGCGAAAGCCUGACGCAGCGACGCCGCGUGGGGGAAGAAUGCCUUCGGGUUGUAAACCCCUUUUCUGGGGGAAGAGAAUGGACGGUACCCCAGGAAUAAGCCUCGGCUAACUACGUGCCAGCAGCCGCGGUAAUACGUAGGAGGCAAGCGUUGUCCGGAUUUACUGGGCGUAAAGGGCGUGUAGGCGGUUCAGGAAGUCCCUGGUGAAAUCUCCCAGCUCAACUGGGAUAGGUCUGAGGAUACUCCUGAACUUGAGGGCAGUAGAGGAGAGUGGAAUUCCCGGUGGAGUGGUGAAAUGCGUAGAUAUCGGGAGGAACACCCGUGGCGAAGGCGGCUCUCUGGGCUGUCCCUGACGCUGAGGCGCGAAAGCGUGGGGAGCAAACCGG
This 406-nucleotide ribosomal RNA is filed under the name uncultured bacterium. RNAcentral describes it as "bacterial SSU rRNA". It matches the Rfam family "Bacterial small subunit ribosomal RNA", at positions 354 to 776 of the family's 1533-position model. The record is from RNAcentral.